Molecule: RNA transcript, 1466 nt
Organism: Chenopodium quinoa (quinoa)
Lineage: Eukaryota; Viridiplantae; Streptophyta; Magnoliopsida; Caryophyllales; Amaranthaceae
Gene name: D-tyrosyl-tRNA(Tyr) deacylase-like
Exons: 8
Source: RefSeq, a predicted model, not a curated record
UUCUUAUAAAAUUGGCAGGUCGUUUAAGAAUAUGCGGGUUGACACGCAACGUUCAUGCACAAUCGGCCCAUCAACUUUCCCUUGCUGUAGGGCGAGCUUGUGACAAGCUCAUUUUGGGUCGGAUCUUUUCGGUUCCAACCCGGCCCUUGUCCAGCUCUACAUAAAACCCAUUACUUUGAAAGCAAAAAAUAAAUAAAUAAAUAAAAAGCUUGAUCUUUAACCUUUAUUCCUUUAACAAUCCACCAACCAAAAAUCCCAUGGCAAUGACAUUAUUAUCAUCUCACUCUCCCCAUUACCUCUCUUCAUCCCUCUUAAAUCCUCUUCUUCUUGUAAAAAAUUACUCCUACAAUAACAAACAACUCCAAAUUCAACGAAAAACCAGAAAUUCCUUCUUUAUUACCAGAGCAAUGAGAGCUGUUGUUCAACGCGUCACCUCUGCUAGCGUUGAGGUUGAUGGCAGCAUUGUGUCCCAGAUUGGCCCUGGCCUUCUUGUCCUCAUCGGCGUUCACGACUCUGAUUCCGAUUCCGACUCCAAUUACAUAUGCAGGAAGGUGUUAAAUAUGAGAUUAUUCCCAAAUGAAAAUACAGGUAAAGCUUGGGAUCAAAGUGUUAUGCAGAAAAAUUAUGAGGUUUUAUUAGUGAGUCAAUUUACACUCUAUGGAACAUUGAAGGGUAACAAGCCGGAUUUUCAUGUGGCUAUGCCUCCACAAAGAGCAAAACCAUUCUACGAAACUGUGGUGGAGAAUUUUCGCAAGAGUUACAACCCUGACUCGAUCAAAGGGUUUGACGCUCGUUCAAUGGUUGAUAGUAUGGUAAUAUGUAAUAUCUCACUUGCUCUGUUUCAUUUACAUAACUGCAGAUGGCAUCUUUGGAGCAAUGAUGAAGGUCAAUCUGGUUAAUGAUGGACCAGUAACAUUACAACUGGAAUCACCACAGACAUCUAAGUUAGGCACAUCUAAGAGUAACAAUGACGCGGAAGAACCAUAAGUCCGUUGACCAUGGUUAUUGGAUCAGAAGCUGAACUUGUGUUACCAGAAAGUUGUUGGAAUAUAUUUUGGUGGAAGACCGAAGACUUGUGUUCUUGAAGCUAAUGCGGAAAUUGCAAGGCUUGCACUUAAACAGUUUUCAGGGUAGUUUGUGUUACUCGGUACCAGAGAAUGAUAUUGUUGCAACUUAGGAAAAUUUAGAGGGAGUAGAGAUUGUUACUUAUACUAAAUAUUUCCGAUUAUUGCUUGUCUACUCAUUGUGCAUUCAGGCACAAGCCAUAGGUUGAACGAAAGAAGACCUUAUUGCAAAUUGCAAUAGAAAAGGAUACACAAGUUCAAGUUCUAUGACUUUUUUACUAGCUUUGAUUGCCAGAUAUUUUGUAUGGCCACAAUUUUAUUUUUUUUUUCUGAAACCUGCAAUGGUUAUUGACAACUCUUCCCUGAUUUAUAUAAAUUGUUAAGAGAACAAAAUUAUGCAAA